RNAcentral lists this long non-coding RNA (18014 nucleotides) under Oryza sativa (Asian cultivated rice). RNAcentral describes it as "long non-coding RNA (OSAT_LNC000973)". Lineage: Eukaryota; Viridiplantae; Streptophyta; Magnoliopsida; Poales; Poaceae. The record is from RNAcentral.
AGCUCGCCUAAAAGCAUAUGACAAGCUACUGUAAAACACCAUCCGUUUUGGUGUUUUGGAUGGAACUAGAUUUCUAUGGCUUAAAAAUGAAGUUACAGACAUGAGAAUUCACAGUUCCCACCGAUGGUACGGCGCAGCAUGAGCGUACAGUUUGUGAAGUGAUUUACCAGUUCAUGCUCACUUAGUCACUGCAAUUUGCGUUAAAAUUGCAUAUUGCCAAAGCAUUUUGUCCAAUGAAGCCUCAUGGAAUUAUCUCCUGCUGUUUGCUGUUUGAGCCUUGUUUAGGUUUGCAAGUUCUUCAAUCAGCUUCCUCUCGUCGCUGCUCAGACGCUUUGGAAUCUCGACCUGCACACGCACUAGCUGGUCUCCACGAGCAUUUGACUUCCCGAGGAGUGGGACACCUUUCUUGGACAUCACUAACGUUGUGCCUGGCUGGGUACCGGAGGGGAUCUUCAGGUCAACCAUCCCAUCAACAGUGGGAACCUUGACGGUUGUCCCAAGAAUUGCGUCAAUAUAUGAAACUUUGCAUGUGUAUAGAAUGUUUGUCCCAUCUCGCUUAAGAACAGGAUCAGAGAGAACAUCAAUAAACACAUAAAGAUCUCCAGGAGGGCCUCCUCUCCGCCCAGCAUUCCCCUCAGACCGGACCCUCAAUCUGCUUCCAGAAUCAACACCAGCAGGAACCUUUAGACUGAUCCUUUUUGUCUUCCGCACUCGGCCAUCACCCCCACAAGUGUUGCACGGGGUAGAGAAUUCACCAGUGCCUCCGCAAGUAUUGCAGGUGGAGACCUGCUGGAAUAUUCCAAGUGGCGUUCUUGUUGAGGAGACCACUUGUCCCUGUCCUCCACAUGUUUUGCAUGUGGUUGGUUUCGUUCCAGGCUUGGCACCAGUUCCAUCACAUGUAUUACAGCCUUCCAGUCUGGUGAUCUCAAUUUCUUUCUCUACACCAAACACCGCUUCCUUGAAAUUGAGUACCAGAUUGUAGGCCUCAUCAUCACCCUGCAUUGGUCUGUUCCGAGCAGCACGGCCUCCCAUUCCCCCCAUUCCACCAAAGCCUUCGAAUAAUGAUUCAAAGAGAUCGAAUGGGUUUGAGUAAUCCUGCAGAUUCACAAAUUUCAUACAAUCAAUAUCAUAUAAAGGUCAUGCUGAUCAUACUUCAGAAUUGGACAACAUUCUAGGAACACUCACUCCUGUUCCCAUUCCAGCACCCUUCAAACCAGCUUCUCCAUAUUUAUCAUAGAUUGAUCGCUUCUCAUCAUCAGACAAAACCUGCAAUCCUAUUUAUGUUAGCUGGCAAGCACCUGUAACCCUACAACAACAUAGUCAUAAGAAACAAUGGGAUUUGGUUAUGGUUAGCUGGACUAACCUCAUAAGCAUUGCUAAUAUCCUUGAACUUUUGUUCAGCACCAGGAUCUCUAAAGAAAAAUACACAAGCAUAACAAUUGCUUAUUUGAUUAUGUAGUUAUGAAAAAGGUAAUGCAACAACUAGUACUCAGGUUUAUAAUGGAUCGAAAGGAGAAAAAGAAGCAAUAUAUCGAGUGUAGCUGAAACACAAUUCCCAUAUAAUGGUUAGUACUUACUUGUUCACAUCAGGAUGGUAGCUCCUAGCAAGCUUCCUAUAGGCUGGAAAAGAAGGACCAUUUUAGAACUACAAUAGAAAGCAACAUUAAACUACUACACAUAUUUUGAUCAAAAUUGACUCUGAAGGAUUUCUAACAUAAUAUCCCCUUAGGCAUUAUUUGGAUAGGACAAAUCCUAGAUUAUCUACGGGUGUGGGUUGGGAUUUUUGUUCAAAAUUUCUGCCCACACACGUGGAGGGCAGGGAUUGAGGGCCAUACAAACAAUGCAUCAAUGAGAAGUUGCCAACAAUAGAUUUUCAGAAAUAUAAACAGUAUCGAGUCUAGAACGCAAGAUGAUCAGUUGCAGAAAAUGAUACUGAAGACAGCAUAGGCUUGUCUUAGAAUAGUUCAAGGGGUUUUGCUGAGAUAGCCUUCAAAUUAGAUGAAAUAGCAAAUAUUUGAGUUACUAGUAGGAAUAGUAAAGCUUUCGAGAACAAACAAGUGGGCCAUAAAGCUCACUAUGGCCAAGUUUGAAAAAGACUAGUUAUAUAUUUCAUAUCUUCCCUGGGAAGCUUAACAGUUUCUGUUGUACAUAUAUUUUGUUUCACACGUGAACAGUAUGAUUUAAAACUAGUAAUCUACGACUAAUAGCCACAUGAAAGCAGUCUGGUUUGUUUGGUAAAUUAUAGGGUACCUACAAACCUACAACCAGGCUCAAACUAGAGAAGAAGCAAAGCUGGGUAAUACUCCUACGAUUGUACGGAGCACCAAUCACUGCAUGCCCUAAACUGACAAAUAAAACCACACCUACCACUCUUGAUUUCAGAUUUACUAGCAUUUCUUGAAACACCAAGUGUGGAAUAGAAAUCCUGUAAAUUAAAAUAUCAAAUCCAUGUCAGGAAACUGGAUUUUCUAAUAAUACCAGCAAAGAAGAAAAGCAAAUGAAGUAACUCACAGCAUCAGCUCUGACAAUGAACCUUGAACUCCUUCGAUGGCGAAAUCUCGGUGAUGGUGCAUGGUUAAAUAGUCGAGAAGAUGUCCGUGAUUGUAAACUAGCAGUAGGUGAUACAAGGUGUUUAAGCCUGCCUCCACUACUGCACAAAAAGAGAUAUAUCAUCUUCAGUUUACUCAGAAAUCUUGCCUUUUUAUAAUAUCAAUGUGUCCUUUAUUUUAGUAUUCCUAGUACAUCUCACUGAUCAGAACACAUUCACAUACCCACUUUUCGACACCAGAAAUCUUGGAUCAGCAUAAAUAACUCUUGUAAGUGCAGGUGACCUGGGCAACAGCUGAGGUUUUUCCCCAAGUUUGGGGGCCAAGGUACCUCCAAACUGUAGCAACGCCAUUGAAAUACUUGCUGGAUACCCACAAAGCUUCAACCUUCAAUAUACUAGCUGCCAUUUCACAGAGAUAGAGUCAGGUGAAGCAUAACAAAAGCAAUACACAAAAGAACGAUAUUCGAGUAAGUUCACAAUUCUAUUCAAAAACGUUCUCUUCUAAAUUUUAAUCAACCAACACAUAUCGACUGUCAUUACUCCUUACUCCUUUAAGAGGAUGAAUAGGGGCGAGGGUGUGUACAACUGUACAUACAUAUGUACUGCUUGCAGGAACUUUUUCAGAGAUCAUGGGCCUGCUGAGCAGCCAUUGCUACGGUUGUGGAUGCACACCGCGGCCACAGCUAGUAGCUUAGGUACAGCUGCAGCAGUGGCUGUCGAGCAGGGCGUGUAUUAUUUGCAUGUAUUUAUAUGUGGGAUUGAUCAUCUCUUGCAUGUAUACACUUUUUUAGGUUCGAGGAUAAUUAGUUUUGCAUUUUUGAGCUUACAUACCAUGGUAAAUUUGUUAUACAUAAGAAUUCGGCCAUAACGUGCGAAGCUGGCAAACACUACGCUAUAUUAUCUUCGAGGUGGAGUUGGUGGUUGUAAUCGUGUGCUAUGCAUCCUUACCGAUCCUAACAUAUCAUAUAUGCAGAUACAUGGACACCAUGAGAUGCUCGGGUUUAUAACAUUCGGUAUUAUUUUUUUUUCUUUUUUGCUGCCGAAUUUACCAACCACAAAAAUAUAUAAUACCUACCGGGCUGCAGCAAAUCAGGACAAAAGCCUCUUGAAGAACUGCGGCAAUAGGGCAAGAAGCGGUGGCGGCACGGCGCUGUCGGGCGUGACCACGCGAGGGAGGGGCGGGCGCGGGAAUAGUAGGGCUAGGGAUUUGGUCGGGGAGCUGUGGACGACGGGACACGGGAAGAGAGGGGAGGAAUGGGGGAUGGAGAGAGAGAAGAAGAAGUGGCACCUCGUCUCGAGCUGCGGAGGUCGUCGCAGCCACUCGGGGAGGGAAGUGAGCCUCCCGGGAGAUAAGAUUUGGGCAAAGGCACGCGUGUAGGGGGUGGAUGUCGAGCCAGCUCGGCUCGGUCUAGCUAGGCUCGGCUUAUUAUCCUAACGAGCUAGAAAACCAAGCUAGGCUCGGCUAGUUGUCUAGCUCGAGCGGGCUCGUUUGGCUCGUGAGCCAAAGAAAGCAGGGCAAGCAAGACGACGAGGACGCGCGGCCACACGGGAGUAGGGGUGUCGCCCGCCGGGUAACUAGGCGAUUCGCGCGAGGAAGAGGCGAGUUGGGGUCUUAGGGUGGCCGGAGGCAAGUAGGGAAGGAGACGGCGUGACCUACUGACCUUCCCGAUAGCCAGCGUGAGGAGCGGAUGGCAGCUGUUGACGUUGAGGAUGCGAGGUGAAGCGGGGAGACCGGCGGCGAGAAAGGGCACAACCGCGCGCACAAGGAAGGGUGGCGCUACGAGCUACGACUCCUCGACUCCUGGGCGGCGCUGUCGGCCACUCGGCUCGAGGAUAAGCGGCGCUUCUGGGAAUCGUUGAGAAAAGGAACGGACAGGUAGGGAGGGAUUUUAGGGUUAGACUAUUGGGCUUAUUAUCUUCGAGGUGGAGUUGGUAAUUGUAAUCGUGUGAUAUGCAUCCUUACCAAUCCUAACAUAUCAUAUAUGCUGAUAUAUAGACACCAUGAGAUGCUCGGGUUUAUAACAUUCGGUAUUAAACACUUUUUUUUUUGCUGCCAAAUUUACCAACGAGAAAAAUAUACAAUACCUACUGGGCUGCAGCAAAUCAGGACAACCUCUUAAAGAACCGCGGCAGUAGGGCAAGAAGCGGCGGCACUGUCGGGCCCGAUCGUGCGGCGUGACCGCGCGAGGGAGGCCUGGUGGGUGGGGAAUAGUAGGGCUAGGGAUUUGGUCGGGGAGCUGUGGACGACGGGACACGGGAAGAGGGGAGGAAUGGGGGAGACGAGAGUGAGAGAGAGAAGGGCACCUCGUCGGCGGCACGCGUGCUCGAGGUGUGGAGGUCGUCGGCGGCCGCACCGCGGCGGUGGGGAAUGGGGGCAAGGCGCGGCAGCGGUGGGAAAUGGGGGCAAGGGAAGGGAAGGUGGAGGGAUUGGAUGGUUUGAGUGACUCGGGAAGGGAAGUGGAGCGGAGCCUCCCGGGAGAUAAGAUUUGCGCAGAGGCACGCGUGGCCUACGCAUUGGCACCGCUGGCCUCCAUCUGGGCCGUCGGCUUCACAUCCGACGGGGUUGGUGUCGAGGGCUCGGGGCCCCGGUUUUUGCGUUUUGAGGGAAAUGCGUUCCAUAUGUUUCCGACGAGGAGUAUUCCAGAAUAAUACCUACUACAUCUAAAAUCAUGUUCAUUAUUUAUUAGUGUUGUUUUUUAUUUCUUUUGAUGAAAGUAGGUAAGGUGUCUAUUUUGAUUGGUAAUAAAGAACAUAGUUUACAUAAAUAUUACAUAUGCUCUAGCAGAUAAAUAGUUAAAACAUAACGAUUUUUUACCAUAACGGUGGAGGGAGCCAAACUAGAAAUUAAGAAAUUAGGAGUAAACAUUAACCAAAAGUGCAUUCUAUUGUUAUUAGAUUGUACUUGGCAUAUAUCAUUUUGUUUUUUUAUUCCAAACUAUAGUUGAUUUGAAUUUACUAAUUACCUAAUUUAAAUAUCUAUAUUAUUAGUCUAAAUUAUUUUUAAAAUUAAAAAUAUUAAAAUAUUACAGAUAUAUCACAAUGUUUUAGGGACGGGAAGACAAAGUACGUUCAAUGGUUUCAAUUUAUAACCUGAUAAAGAAAGAAUGUUAAAUUAGAUUCAUGCCAAGUGUCACAGUAUGUCCUUUAGAAAAUUUUGUGGAAUAAAAAUUACUUAUAAGAAUAUACCUUGAUAAAAAGAUAUUUUGUGUGACUAUGGGUAGUUUGUGGUCUAGAUUCUUCUUAAGAAAUUUAUGUGAGUUUGGAUGAGUACAAAUUAUGUGAGCUUACAUUUUUCGUUCUAAGGGUGUUUGGAUGAGAUUCAAUAACCAAAUUACAUCUGCUAAAAACGGAAAUCAAAAUUAACAACUUGAAAGUAGGUGGAGCUGGGCAGAGGCAGAUCUAACCCUGUUUCGGUUGAACCCCCAAACUUUUUGAGGGAUAACGCAGAAUACCUGAUGAGGUGUGGGUAGGGAGGGAUGCUCACCGGCGAGCGACGAUGCGGUGGAAGAAGGAGGACGCCGGGCGCCACCUCUGCUCGCAGGAUGGGGAUCGGCGCAAGCGGCGGGCGAGGAGACGAAAUUCGAGGCCGAGGCCGGAUGGGAUGGAUUAGGAUGCGAAUGCGGCGGGAGCAGGAGGACGCCGGCGCCACCUCUGCUAGCAGGAUGGAGAUCGGCGCCAGCGGCAGGCGAGGAGACGGGAGUCGAGGGCGGCGGGCGAGGAGACGGGACGGAUUGGGGAGGCGGAGGUCGUGCAGCGCUCUGCUGCCGCGUUGUCGCCUGCCUAUGGGUCAUAUGCACAGGCGCCUCAUCUCCCAAAAAAGUUCAUCUAAGGUCCCUUAUCUUGUCGUUGAGUUUUAAACGGCCCUGAACCCCUAAUCUUGCAAAACGGUCCACUUUUAAUCCCAAGGUAGUAUUGCUUUCCGGUUUUGUUGACGUGGUGGCUGAGUCAGUGCAGGGCCCACGUGGAACCCACAAGCCAACUAGCAAUCUUCUUCCACCUCACUCCCCUCUACUCCUAUCUCAACCCAAACCUCUAGGGCAUUCGCCAAUGGGUGGGGAGAAGGGUGUCGGUUGGCAGGGAAAAGCUCAACGGCGGAGGCCGCCAGCUGACGUGGCUCCUAAUGACCGGGAGCGCUCACGUCAUGGACUUGCGCACGUGCGGGGGUGUGGCACGGGUCCCAACUACAACUGCUCACCUUCUCCCCACCCAUCGCCAGGCGCCGUCGUCGGGCACCGGCCACCACACACCUCUCCCACGAUUCAGCGUCCUCUUCGCUCCAUGACGCAGCCGUCAAGAGCCCAGGGUGACUCACACCUUCCCUCCCUCGUGGGCCAAAGUCGGGAGGAUGUUUGCAUCCAUAUUCGAUCGAGGGAGAAACCUCAUUUUCUCCAGCAGCCGAAACAUGCCAACUCCCGCCCCCCCCCCCCCCCCCCCCGCAGCUGGGGUAACAAGCUCACGCCACCGAGCUCGCCAGGAGCGAUGCGAGCGCGUCGUCUUUUAUGCCGGUGUCAGUCGUCAUAGAUUUUCCAUGUGGUACUAAAAACUUCGUUUUUGUGCGUGACAGUUGCGCGUAGAAUAUGUAUGGGCUUUGCACGCACGCCGGCCCGAAGUCUCGAAAUUAUCCAGGAUCAUCAUGCGCCGUCCCUCGUGAAGGCCGCCGCCGCCGGGUCCGUCGCCGGCGAACAGCGUGGCCACCGCCAUAAGCCACCCGCUGAUCCGCCCAUGCACAACAGCCCAUCCUGUUGCAGCCACUCCUCGCCGCCGGCACAACCACCACCACCGGGCUUUCUCACCGACACCACCGGCGACGGCAGCGGCAGCCUGACGGCCAAUGUUCUGCACAAUGUCAAUCUCCUGCAUAUCAAUCACACUCCCAACCCUGAAAUGGUGGAAUACCUGCUAGUAUUCCACUGCAGAUCAAACACUUUCCUUUGGUUGGCUUGUAGAGUAGAGAUAGGGUACAGUCUGCAAACAGAAUUGGUUCAUCGGCACUGGAUAUAGGAUACAGCUUGCAUUGCAACAGAGUUUGCAGAAUGCAUGGCUUUACUAAAGAGGGAUCACCCUUACAAUUUUUGCGCUGUUUUAUUGGACUGAAAAUUAACACAAAUCAAUGUACCCAGUGACUUGCCAUCAGCCAAGCAGCUGUCUUUUCGGUUUCCAGAUUGGAUUCGGGUAAAGUUUAAGACUCCGGAAGCAGGAAUUUUAGGCACUGUAUUGCCAUUAGAUAAUCGGGUGGAUAAUAUACAUAUUGGUUUGCCAAACACUUGGAACAGGCCACAAAUUUCGAGUUAACUUUUAUUUGAUUGAGGAUUUCACAACCGGUUUAUACAAGGUCUAGUACCCAAGAGAAUAAUAGCGUACUGAACAAACAAAGGGACAGGAAAGAACAAGGGCUGCUUCUGUCAAGAACCAUGGUCACUUGAACAUAAAUGCAAGGUGAGAUAAAACGAUAAUGGCGUUAGAAGAGGGAAGGAAGAAAUGAUCAGAAGCAGCAGGCUACUGGCAUUGACACUUGAUGGUGUUAACGAUAAUGUUAAACAAGUCGACACGAAAAAAUCACUACUACUCCUACUCCUAAGCCUCAGUGAAGGAGGAAACGGAGAACAUCUCUCUCGCAUUGCAGUAAAUGGUACUGCUGGUGCUGGACUCCUCACGUUUCUCAGCUGUUGAACGCUGGAGGUAGAACAGUAGUAGCACUGGUAAACAGUGGAAGUAAAAUUUCAUUUAUGGAUUAUUAAUUUGCUAUUAAAGGACAGUUUAAACUGAUCUAAAGCCAAGCUAACAUGGUGAACUUUUGUGGCUAACGCAAGUAUGGAAGGGUUGCCAUACAAUGUACAAGCUAACAUGAACGUUAUUGAAGCUGAAAAAACUAUAAUGUAAUACUCCUAUAUCCUACUGACAUGUCUGCACCAUAUAUUGAUCCAUGAGACUCAUUCCUGACUGGCCUUUUACUGGCACAUGCAUGGAACAAUCAGCUUAAAGUUAACAGUCAGCUAUACUGCAUUUAGCUGCACGCCUGCACUACAACAGAUUUUGCAACUGCCAUUACAUUGGCUAAUAGAGAAAGCUAGCAUACAGUUGAAAACCAAACGGAACAAACCCCCAACGCUUAAGAGCACAUGAAAACCUGCUGCCAAAACUUUGAUGUUACAGCUUACAAUAACAAUCAGAAUGGUCUGGUGCUUCUGCGACAAACAAAUGUUUCAAAACUCGUCCCUUUUGCACCAUUAAAUAUUUCUCCCUAGGCCUUUCAAAAUUGUGAAAAAGUAUUAUGAAAAAUAGACUAAUAAGCUCGCCUAAAAGCAUAUGACAAGCUACUGUAAAACACCAUCCGUUUUGGUGUUUUGGAUGGAACUAGAUUUCUAUGGCUUAAAAAUGAAGUUACAGACAUGAGAAUUCACAGUUCCCACCGAUGGUACGGCGCAGCAUGAGCGUACAGUUUGUGAAGUGAUUUACCAGUUCAUGCUCACUUAGUCACUGCAAUUUGCGUUAAAAUUGCAUAUUGCCAAAGCAUUUUGUCCAAUGAAGCCUCAUGGAAUUAUCUCCUGCUGUUUGCUGUUUGAGCCUUGUUUAGGUUUGCAAGUUCUUCAAUCAGCUUCCUCUCGUCGCUGCUCAGACGCUUUGGAAUCUCGACCUGCACACGCACUAGCUGGUCUCCACGAGCAUUUGACUUCCCGAGGAGUGGGACACCUUUCUUGGACAUCACUAACGUUGUGCCUGGCUGGGUACCGGAGGGGAUCUUCAGGUCAACCAUCCCAUCAACAGUGGGAACCUUGACGGUUGUCCCAAGAAUUGCGUCAAUAUAUGAAACUUUGCAUGUGUAUAGAAUGUUUGUCCCAUCUCGCUUAAGAACAGGAUCAGAGAGAACAUCAAUAAACACAUAAAGAUCUCCAGGAGGGCCUCCUCUCCGCCCAGCAUUCCCCUCAGACCGGACCCUCAAUCUGCUUCCAGAAUCAACACCAGCAGGAACCUUUAGACUGAUCCUUUUUGUCUUCCGCACUCGGCCAUCACCCCCACAAGUGUUGCACGGGGUAGAGAAUUCACCAGUGCCUCCGCAAGUAUUGCAGGUGGAGACCUGCUGGAAUAUUCCAAGUGGCGUUCUUGUUGAGGAGACCACUUGUCCCUGUCCUCCACAUGUUUUGCAUGUGGUUGGUUUCGUUCCAGGCUUGGCACCAGUUCCAUCACAUGUAUUACAGCCUUCCAGUCUGGUGAUCUCAAUUUCUUUCUCUACACCAAACACCGCUUCCUUGAAAUUGAGUACCAGAUUGUAGGCCUCAUCAUCACCCUGCAUUGGUCUGUUCCGAGCAGCACGGCCUCCCAUUCCCCCCAUUCCACCAAAGCCUUCGAAUAAUGAUUCAAAGAGAUCGAAUGGGUUUGAGUAAUCCUGCAGAUUCACAAAUUUCAUACAAUCAAUAUCAUAUAAAGGUCAUGCUGAUCAUACUUCAGAAUUGGACAACAUUCUAGGAACACUCACUCCUGUUCCCAUUCCAGCACCCUUCAAACCAGCUUCUCCAUAUUUAUCAUAGAUUGAUCGCUUCUCAUCAUCAGACAAAACCUGCAAUCCUAUUUAUGUUAGCUGGCAAGCACCUGUAACCCUACAACAACAUAGUCAUAAGAAACAAUGGGAUUUGGUUAUGGUUAGCUGGACUAACCUCAUAAGCAUUGCUAAUAUCCUUGAACUUUUGUUCAGCACCAGGAUCUCUAAAGAAAAAUACACAAGCAUAACAAUUGCUUAUUUGAUUAUGUAGUUAUGAAAAAGGUAAUGCAACAACUAGUACUCAGGUUUAUAAUGGAUCGAAAGGAGAAAAAGAAGCAAUAUAUCGAGUGUAGCUGAAACACAAUUCCCAUAUAAUGGUUAGUACUUACUUGUUCACAUCAGGAUGGUAGCUCCUAGCAAGCUUCCUAUAGGCUGGAAAAGAAGGACCAUUUUAGAACUACAAUAGAAAGCAACAUUAAACUACUACACAUAUUUUGAUCAAAAUUGACUCUGAAGGAUUUCUAACAUAAUAUCCCCUUAGGCAUUAUUUGGAUAGGACAAAUCCUAGAUUAUCUACGGGUGUGGGUUGGGAUUUUUGUUCAAAAUUUCUGCCCACACACGUGGAGGGCAGGGAUUGAGGGCCAUACAAACAAUGCAUCAAUGAGAAGUUGCCAACAAUAGAUUUUCAGAAAUAUAAACAGUAUCGAGUCUAGAACGCAAGAUGAUCAGUUGCAGAAAAUGAUACUGAAGACAGCAUAGGCUUGUCUUAGAAUAGUUCAAGGGGUUUUGCUGAGAUAGCCUUCAAAUUAGAUGAAAUAGCAAAUAUUUGAGUUACUAGUAGGAAUAGUAAAGCUUUCGAGAACAAACAAGUGGGCCAUAAAGCUCACUAUGGCCAAGUUUGAAAAAGACUAGUUAUAUAUUUCAUAUCUUCCCUGGGAAGCUUAACAGUUUCUGUUGUACAUAUAUUUUGUUUCACACGUGAACAGUAUGAUUUAAAACUAGUAAUCUACGACUAAUAGCCACAUGAAAGCAGUCUGGUUUGUUUGGUAAAUUAUAGGGUACCUACAAACCUACAACCAGGCUCAAACUAGAGAAGAAGCAAAGCUGGGUAAUACUCCUACGAUUGUACGGAGCACCAAUCACUGCAUGCCCUAAACUGACAAAUAAAACCACACCUACCACUCUUGAUUUCAGAUUUACUAGCAUUUCUUGAAACACCAAGUGUGGAAUAGAAAUCCUGUAAAUUAAAAUAUCAAAUCCAUGUCAGGAAACUGGAUUUUCUAAUAAUACCAGCAAAGAAGAAAAGCAAAUGAAGUAACUCACAGCAUCAGCUCUGACAAUGAACCUUGAACUCCUUCGAUGGCGAAAUCUCGGUGAUGGUGCAUGGUUAAAUAGUCGAGAAGAUGUCCGUGAUUGUAAACUAGCAGUAGGUGAUACAAGGUGUUUAAGCCUGCCUCCACUACUGCACAAAAAGAGAUAUAUCAUCUUCAGUUUACUCAGAAAUCUUGCCUUUUUAUAAUAUCAAUGUGUCCUUUAUUUUAGUAUUCCUAGUACAUCUCACUGAUCAGAACACAUUCACAUACCCACUUUUCGACACCAGAAAUCUUGGAUCAGCAUAAAUAACUCUUGUAAGUGCAGGUGACCUGGGCAACAGCUGAGGUUUUUCCCCAAGUUUGGGGGCCAAGGUACCUCCAAACUGUAGCAACGCCAUUGAAAUACUUGCUGGAUACCCACAAAGCUUCAACCUUCAAUAUACUAGCUGCCAUUUCACAGAGAUAGAGUCAGGUGAAGCAUAACAAAAGCAAUACACAAAAGAACGAUAUUCGAGUAAGUUCACAAUUCUAUUCAAAAACGUUCUCUUCUAAAUUUUAAUCAACCAACACAUAUCGACUGUCAUUACUCCUUACUCCUUUAAGAGGAUGAAUAGGGGCGAGGGUGUGUACAACUGUACAUACAUAUGUACUGCUUGCAGGAACUUUUUCAGAGAUCAUGGGCCUGCUGAGCAGCCAUUGCUACGGUUGUGGAUGCACACCGCGGCCACAGCUAGUAGCUUAGGUACAGCUGCAGCAGUGGCUGUCGAGCAGGGCGUGUAUUAUUUGCAUGUAUUUAUAUGUGGGAUUGAUCAUCUCUUGCAUGUAUACACUUUUUUAGGUUCGAGGAUAAUUAGUUUUGCAUUUUUGAGCUUACAUACCAUGGUAAAUUUGUUAUACAUAAGAAUUCGGCCAUAACGUGCGAAGCUGGCAAACACUACGCUAUAUUAUCUUCGAGGUGGAGUUGGUGGUUGUAAUCGUGUGCUAUGCAUCCUUACCGAUCCUAACAUAUCAUAUAUGCUGAUACAUGGACACCAUGAGAUGCUCGGGUUUAUAACAUUCGGUAUUAUUUUUUUUUCUUUUUUGCUGCCGAAUUUACCAACCACAAAAAUAUAUAAUACCUACCGGGCUGCAGCAAAUUAGGACAAAAGCCUCUUGAAGAACUGCGGCAAUAGGGCAAGAAGCGGUGGCGGCACGGCGCUGUCGGGCGUGACCACGCGAGGGAGGGGCGGGCGCGGGAAUAGUAGGGCUAGGGAUUUGGUCGGGGAGCUGUGGACGACGGGACACGGGAAGAGAGGGGAGGAAUGGGGGAUGGAGAGAGAGAAGAAGAAGUGGCACCUCGUCUCGAGCUGCGGAGGUCGUCGCAGCCACUCGGGGAGGGAAGUGAGCCUCCCGGGAGAUAAGAUUUGGGCAAAGGCACGCGUGUAGGGGGUGGAUGUCGAGCCAGCUCGGCUCGGUCUAGCUAGGCUCGGCUUAUUAUCCUAACGAGCUAGAAAACCAAGCUAGGCUCGGCUAGUUGUCUAGCUCGAGCGGGCUCGUUUGGCUCGUGAGCCAAAGAAAGCAGGGCAAGCAAGACGACGAGGACGCGCGGCCACACGGGAGUAGGGGUGUCGCCCGCCGGGUAACUAGGCGAUUCGCGCGAGGAAGAGGCGAGUUGGGGUCUUAGGGUGGCCGGAGGCAAGUAGGGAAGGAGACGGCGUGACCUACUGACCUUCCCGAUAGCCAGCGUGAGGAGCGGAUGGCAGCUGUUGACGUUGAGGAUGCGAGGUGAAGCGGGGAGACCGGCGGCGAGAAAGGGCACAACCGCGCGCACAAGGAAGGGUGGCGCUACGAGCUACGACUCCUCGACUCCUGGGCGGCGCUGUCGGCCACUCGGCUCGAGGAUAAGCGGCGCUUCUGGGAAUCGUUGAGAAAAGGAACGGACAGGUAGGGAGGGAUUUUAGGGUUAGACUAUUGGGCUUAUUAUCUUCGAGGUGGAGUUGGUAAUUGUAAUCGUGUGAUAUGCAUCCUUACCAAUCCUAACAUAUCAUAUAUGCUGAUAUAUAGACACCAUGAGAUGCUCGGGUUUAUAACAUUCGGUAUUAAACACUUUUUUUUUGCUGCCAAAUUUACCAACGAGAAAAAUAUACAAUACCUACUGGGCUGCAGCAAAUCAGGACAACAACCUCUUAAAGAACCGCGGCAGUAGGGCAAGAAGCGGCGGCACUGUCGGGCCCGAUCGUGCGGCGUGACCACGCGAGGGAGGCCUGGUGGGUGGGGAAUAGUAGGGCUAGGGAUUUGGUCGGGGAGCUGUGGACGACGGGACACGGGAAGAGGGGAGGAAUGGGGGAGACGAGAGUGAGAGAGAGAAGGGCACCUCGUCGGCGGCACGCGUGCUCGAGGUGUGGAGGUCGUCGGCGGCCGCACCGCGGCGGUGGGGAAUGGGGGCAAGGCGCGGCGGCGGUGGGAAAUGGGGGCAAGGGAAGGGAAGGUGGAGGGAUUGGAUGGUUUGAGUGACUCGGGAAGGGAAGUGGAGCGGAGCCUCCCGGGAGAUAAGAUUUGCGCAGAGGCACGCGUGGCCUACGCAUUGGCACCGCUGGCCUCCAUCUGGGCCGUCGGCUUCACAUCCGACGGGGUUGGUGUCGAGGGCUCGGGGCCCCGGUUUUUGCGUUUUGAGGGAAAUGCGUUCCAUAUGUUUCCGACGAGGAGUAUUCCAGAAUAAUACCUACUACAUUUUUUAUUUCUUUUGAUGAAAGUAGGUAAGGUGUCUAUUUUGAUUGGUAAUAAAGAACAUAGUUUACAUAAAUAUUACAUAUGCUCUAGCAGAUAAAUAGUUAAAACAUAACGAUUUUUUACCAUAACGGUGGGGGGAGCCAAACUAGAAAUUAAGAAAUUAGGAGUAAACAUUAACCAAAAGUGCAUUCUAUUGUUAUUAGAUUGUACUUGGCAUAUAUCAUUUUGUUUUUUUAUUCCAAACUAUAGUUGAUUUGAAUUUACUAAUUACCUAAUUUAAAUAUCUAUAUUAUUAGUCUAAAUUAUUUUUAAAAUUAAAAAUAUUAAAAUAUUACAGAUAUAUCACAAUGUUUUAGGGACGGGAAGACAAAGUACGUUCAAUGGUUUCAAUUUAUAACCUGAUAAAGAAAGAAUGUUAAAUUAGAUUCAUGCCAAGUGUCACAGUAUGUCCUUUAGAAAAUUUUGUGGAAUAAAAAUUACUUAUAAGAAUAUACCUUGAUAAAAAGAUAUUUUGUGUGACUAUGGGUAGUUUGUGGUCUAGAUUCUUCUUAAGAAAUUUAUGUGAGUUUGGAUGAGUACAAAUUAUGUGAGCUUACAUUUUUCGUUCUAAGGGUGUUUGGAUGAGAUUCAAUAACCAAAUUACAUCUGCUAAAAACGGAAAUCAAAAUUAACAACUUGAAAGUAGGUGGAGCUGGGCAGAGGCAGAUCUAACCCUGUUUCGGUUGAACCCCCAAACUUUUUGAGGGAUAACGCAGAAUACCUGAUGAGGUGUGGGUAGGGAGGGAUGCUCACCGGCGAGCGACGAUGCGGUGGAAGAAGGAGGACGCCGGGCGCCACCUCUGCUCGCAGGAUGGGGAUCGGCGCAAGCGGCGGGCGAGGAGACGAAAUUCGAGGCCGAGGCCGGAUGGGAUGGAUUAGGAUGCGAAUGCGGCGGGAGCAGGAGGACGCCGGCGCCACCUCUGCUAGCAGGAUGGAGAUCGGCGCCAGCGGCAGGCGAGGAGACGGGAGUCGAGGGCGGCGGGCGAGGAGACGGGACGGAUUGGGGAGGCGGAGGUCGUGCAGCGCUCUGCUGCCGCGUUGUCGCCUGCCUAUGGGUCAUAUGCACAGGCGCCUCAUCUCCCAAAAAAGUUCAUCUAAGGUCCCUUAUCUUGUCGUUGAGUUUUAAACGGCCCUGAACCCCUAAUCUUGCAAAACGGUCCACUUUUAAUCCCAAGGUAGUAUUGCUUUCCGGUUUUGUUGACGUGGUGGCUGAGUCAGUGCAGGGCCCACGUGGAACCCACAAGCCAACUAGCAAUCUUCUUCCACCUCACUCCCCUCUACUCCUAUCUCAACCCAAACCUCUAGGGCAUUCGCCAAUGGGUGGGGAGAAGGGUGUCGGUUGGCAGGGAAAAGCUCAACGGCGGAGGCCGCCAGCUGACGUGGCUCCUAAUGACCGGGAGCGCUCACGUCAUGGACUUGCGCACGUGCGGGGGUGUGGCACGGGUCCCAACUACAACUGCUCGCCUUCUCCCCACCCAUCGCCAGGCGCCGUCGUCGGGCACCGGCCACCACACACCUCUCCCACGAUUCAGCGUCCUCUUCACAUACAACUGCUCGCCUUCUCCCCACGCAUCGCCAGGCGCCGUCGUCGGGCACCGGCCACCACACACCUCUCCCACGAUUCAGCGUCCUCUUCGCUCCAUGACGCAGCCGUCAAGAGCCCAGGGUGACUCACACCUUCCCUCCCUCGUGGGCCAAAGUCGGGAGGAUGUUUGCAUCCAUAUUCGAUCGAGGGAGAAACCUCAUUUUCUCCAGCAGCCGAAACAUGCCAACUCCCGCCCCCCCGCAGCUGGGGUAACAAGCUCACGCCACCGAGCUCGCCAGGAGCGAUGCGAGCGCGUCGUCUUUUAUGCCGGUGUCAGUCGUCAUAGAUUUUCCAUGUGGUACUAAAAACUUCGUUUUUGUGCGUGACAGUUGCGCGUAGAAUAUGUAUGGGCUUUGCACGCACGCCGGCCCGAAGUCUCGAAAUUAUCCAGGAUCAUCAUGCGCCGUCCCUCGUGAAGGCCGCCGCCGCCGGGUCCGUCGCCGGCGAACAGCGUGGCCACCGCCAUAAGCCACCCGCUGAUCCGCCCAUGCACAACAGCCCAUCCUGUUGCAGCCACUCCUCGCCGCCGGCACAACCACCACCACCGGGCUUUCUCACCGACACCACCGGCGACGGCAGCGGCAGCCUGACGGCCAAUGUUCUGCACAAUGUCAAUCUCCUGCAUAUCAAUCACACUCCCAACCCUGAAAUGGUGGAAUACCUGCUAGUAUUCCACUGCAGAUCAAACACUUUCCUUUGGUUGGCUUGUAGAGUAGAGAUAGGGUACAGUCUGCAAACAGAAUUGGUUCAUCGGCACUGGAUAUAGGAUACAGCUUGCAUUGCAACAGAGUUUGCAGAAUGCAUGGCUUUACUAAAGAGGGAUCACCCUUACAAUUUUUGCGCUGUUUUAUUGGACUGAAAAUUAACACAAAUCAAUGUACCCAGUGACUUGCCAUCAGCCAAGCAGCUGUCUUUUCGGUUUCCAGAUUGGAUUCGGGUAAAGUUUAAGACUCCGGAAGCAGGAAUUUUAGGCACUGUAUUGCCAUUAGAUAAUCGGGUGGAUAAUAUACAUAUUGGUUUGCCAAACACUUGGAACAGGCCACAAAUUUCGAGUUAACUUUUAUUUGAUUGAGGAUUUCACAACCGGUUUAUACAAGGUCUAGUACCCAAGAGAAUAAUAGCGUACUGAACAAACAAAGGGACAGGAAAGAACAAGGGCUGCUUCUGUCAAGAACCAUGGUCACUUGAACAUAAAUGCAAGGUGAGAUAAAACGAUAAUGGCGUUAGAAGAGGGAAGGAAGAAAUGAUCAGAAGCAGCAGGCUACUGGCAUUGACACUUGAUGGUGUUAACGAUAAUGUUAAACAAGUCGACACGAAAAAAUCACUACUACUCCUACUCCUAAGCCUCAGUGAAGGAGGAAACGGAGAACAUCUCUCUCGCAUUGCAGUAAAUGGUACUGCUGGUGCUGGACUCCUCACGUUUCUCAGCUGUUGAACGCUGGAGGUAGAACAGUAGUAGCACUGGUAAACAGUGGAAGUAAAAUUUCAUUUAUGGAUUAUUAAUUUGCUAUUAAAGGACAGUUUAAACUGAUCUAAAGCCAAGCUAACAUGGUGAACUUUUGUGGCUAACGCAAGUAUGGAAGGGUUGCCAUACAAUGUACAAGCUAACAUGAACGUUAUUGAAGCUGAAAAAACUAUAAUGUAAUACUCCUAUAUCCUACUGACAUGUCUGCACCAUAUAUUGAUCCAUGAGACUCAUUCCUGACUGGCCUUUUACUGGCACAUGCAUGGAACAAUCAGCUUAAAGUUAACAGUCAGCUAUACUGCAUUUAGCUGCACGCCUGCACUACAACAGAUUUUGCAACUGCCAUUACAUUGGCUAAUAGAGAAAGCUAGCAUACAGUUGAAAACCAAACGGAACAAACCCCCAACGCUUAAGAGCACAUGAAAACCUGCUGCCAAAACUUUGAUGUUACAGCUUACAAUAACAAUCAGAAUGGUCUGGUGCUUCUGCGACAAACAAAUGUUUCAAAACUCGUCCCUUUUGCACCAUUAAAUAUUUCUCCCUAGGCCUUUCAAAAUUGUGAAAAAGUAUUAUGAAAAAUAGACUAAUAAGCUCGCCUAAAAGCAUAUGACAAGCUACUGUAAAACACCAUCCGUUUUGGUGUUUUGGAUGGAACUAGAUUUCUAUGGCUUAAAAAUGAAGUUACAGACAUGAGAAUUCACAGUUCCCACCGAUGGUACGGCGCAGCAUGAGCGUACAGUUUGUGAAGUGAUUUACCAGUUCAUGCUCACUUAGUCACUGCAAUUUGCGUUAAAAUUGCAUAUUGCCAAAGCAUUUUGUCCAAUGAAGCCUCAUGGAAUUAUCUCCUGCUGUUUGCUGUUUGAGCCUUGUUUAGGUUU